GGGUUGUGAGGUUAAGCGACUAAGCGUACACGGUGGAUGCCCUGGCAGUCAGAGGCGAUGAAGGACGUGCUAAUCUGCGAAAAGCGCCGGCGAGGUGAUAUGAACCUUUGACCCGGCGAUGUCCGAAUGGGGAAACCCAGUGUGAUUCGUCACACUAUCGUUAACUGAAUACAUAGGUUAACGAGGCGAACCGGGGGAACUGAAACAUCUAAGUACCCCGAGGAAAAGAAAUCAACCGAGAUUCCCCCAGUAGCGGCGAGCGAACGGGGAGCAGCCCAGAGUCUGAAUCAGCUUGUGUGUUAGUGGAAGCGUCUGGAAAGUCGCACGGUACAGGGUGACAGUCCCGUACACGAAAAYRCACAGGUUGUGAACUCGAAGAGUAGGGCGGGACACGUGGUAUCCUGUCUGAAUAUGGGGGGACCAUCCUCCAAGGCUAAAUACUCCUGACUGACCGAUAGUGAACCAGUACCGUGAGGGAAAGGCGAAAAGAACCCCGGCGAGGGGAGUGAAAAAGAACCUGAAACCGUGUACGUACAAGCAGUGGGAGCACCUUCGUGGUGUGACUGCGUACCUUUUGUAUAAUGGGUCAGCGACUUAUAUUCUGUAGCAAGGUUAACCGUAUAGGGGAGCCGAAGGGAAACCGAGUCUUAACUGGGCGUUAAGUUGCAGGGUAUAGACCCGAAACCCGGUGAUCUAGCCAUGGGCAGGUUGAAGGUUGGGUAACACUAACUGGAGGACCGAACCGACUAAUGUUGAAAAAUUAGCGGAUGACUUGUGGCUGGGGGUGAAAGGCCAAUCAAACCGGGAGAUAGCUGGUUCUCCCCGAAAGCUAUUUAGGUAGCGCCUCGUGAAYUCAUCUUCGGGGGUAGAGCACUGUUUCGGCUAGGGGGCCAUCCCGGCUUACCAACCCGAUGCAAACUACGAAUACCGAAGAAUGUUAUCACGGGAGACACACGGCGGGUGCUAACGUCCGUCGUGAAGAGGGAAACAACCCAGACCGCCAGCUAAGGUCCCAAAGUCAUGGUUAAGUGGGAAACGAUGUGGGAAGGCACAGACAGCCAGGAUGUUGGCUUAGAAGCAGCCAUCAUUUAAAGAAAGCGUAAUAGCUCACUGGUCGAGUCGGCCUGCGCGGAAGAUGUAACGGGGCUAAACCAUGCACCGAAGCUGCGGCAGCGACACUAUGUGUUGUUGGGUAGGGGAGCGUUCUGUAAGCCGUUGAAGGUGUGCUGUGAGGCAUGCUGGAGGUAUCAGAAGUGCGAAUGCUGACAUAAGUAACGAUAAAGCGGGUGAAAAGCCCGCUCGCCGGAAGACCAAGGGUUCCUGUCCAACGUUAAUCGGGGCAGGGUGAGUCGACCCCUAAGGCGAGGCCGAAAGGCGUAGUCGAUGGGAAACAGGUUAAUAUUCCUGUACUUGGUGUUACUGCGAAGGGGGGACGGAGAAGGCUAUGUUAGCCGGGCGACGGUUGUCCCGGUUUAAGCAUGUAGGCGGAGGUUCCAGGUAAAUCCGGUACCUUUUAACGCUGAGGUGUGAUGACGAGGCACUACGGUGCUGAAGUAACAAAUGCCCUGCUUCCAGGAAAAGCCUCUAAGCAUCAGGUAACAYSAAAUCGUACCCCAAACCGACACAGGUGGUCAGGUAGAGAAUACCAAGGCGCUUGAGAGAACUCGGGUGAAGGAACUAGGCAAAAUGGUGCCGUAACUUCGGGAGAAGGCACGCUGAUAUGUAGGUGAAGCCCCUGCGGGUGGAGCUGAAAUCAGUCGAAGAUACCAGCUGGCUGCAACUGUUUAUUAAAAACACAGCACUGUGCAAACACGAAAGUGGACGUAUACGGUGUGACGCCUGCCCGGUGCCGGAAGGUUAAUUGAUGGGGUUAGCGGCAACGCGAAGCUCUUGAUCGAAGCCCCGGUAAACGGCGGCCGUAACUAUAACGGUCCUAAGGUAGCGAAAUUCCUUGUCGGGUAAGUUCCGACCUGCACGAAUGGCGUAAUGAUGGCCAGGCUGUCUCCACCCGAGACUCAGUGAAAUUGAACUCGCUGUGAAGAUGCAGUGUACCCGCGGCAAGACGGAAAGACCCCGUGAACCUUUACUAUAGCUUGACACUGAACACUGGUCCUUGAUGUGUAGGAUAGGUGGGAGGCUUUGAAGYGUGGACGCCAGUCUGCRUGGAGCCGUCCUUGAAAUACCACCCUUUAAUGGCUGGUGUUCUAACGUAGACCCGURAUCCGGGUUGCGGACAGUGUCUGGUGGGUAGUUUGACUGGGGCGGUCUCCUCCCAAAGAGUAACGGAGGAGCACGAAGGUUAGCUAAUCCUGGUCGGACAUCAGGAGGUUAGUGCAAUGGCAUAAGCUAGCUUGACUGCGAGAGUGACGGCUCGAGCAGGUGCGAAAGCAGGUCAUAGUGAUCCGGUGGUUCUGAAUGGAAGGGCCAUCGCUCAACGGAUAAAAGGUACUCCGGGGAUAACAGGCUGAUACCGCCCAAGAGUUCAUAUCGACGGCGGUGUUUGGCACCUCGAUGUCGGCUCAUCACAUCCUGGGGCUGAAGUAGGUCCCAAGGGUAUGGCUGUUCGCCAUUUAAAGUGGUACGCGAGCUGGGUUUAGAACGUCGUGAGACAGUUCGGUCCCUAUCUGCCGUGGGCGCUGGAGAAUUGAGGGGGGCUGCUCCUAGUACGAGAGGACCGGAGUGGACGCAUCACUGGUGUUCGGGUUGUCAUGCCAAUGGCACUGCCCGGUAGCUAAAUGCGGAAAAGAUAAGUGCUGAAAGCAUCUAAGCACGAAACUUGCCCCGAGAUGAGUUCUCCCUGAGACUUUAAGUCUCCUGAAGGAACGUUGAAGACGACGACGUUGAUAGGUCGGGUGUGUAAGCGCAGCGAUGCGUUGAGCUAACCGAUACUAAUGAACCGUGAGGCUUAACCUUACAACGCCGAAGGUGUUU
This 2931-nucleotide ribosomal RNA is filed under the name Enterobacter sp. ku-bf2. RNAcentral describes it as "bacterial LSU rRNA". It matches the Rfam family "Bacterial large subunit ribosomal RNA". The record is from RNAcentral. Lineage: Bacteria; Pseudomonadati; Pseudomonadota; Gammaproteobacteria; Enterobacterales; Enterobacteriaceae.